ACAUAGGCGAUUGGCCCUGAUGCAUCCAGCGCCCCAGUGUAUGAACUCAGAUCGCCCUACGGAGCACACAAGGAAUUUCCCCAAGUGGCGCAACUUGAGGAGCAACGCGGAGUGGAGGACGACGGCUUCUGGGUUUGAAACAUCAUUUUGGGGUGGGACGGCCACUGACCGGGACCACCAAGAAUGCAGGCCCUGCAUACAUUUGUGCAUGCAGCCGGCGGGAAAGACAAGAAGGGGGCAAGGUCGUUUGCUCUGGAUGGUUCGGUUGGGUGGUAAUGGGCUGUGGGAGGGAGGGCUGUUUGGGUGGCUGGCUGGCUGAAACCCCGCUUAACGGGGCGAGGCGUGCCGAUACGCGCAGACUUGAGGCGAGCAGAGGGUGGUGGAAUUCCGGGUGGAGCGGUGAAAUGCGUAGAGAUCCGAGGAACGCCAGUGUGGAAGCCGGCCACCUGGGCUCGGCCUGACGCUGCGGCGCGACAGCGUGGGGGAGCAAACCGGAUUAG
RNAcentral lists this ribosomal RNA (500 nucleotides) under uncultured bacterium. RNAcentral's name for it is "bacterial SSU rRNA". The stretch from base 274 to 500 matches the Rfam family "Bacterial small subunit ribosomal RNA", at positions 552 to 781 of the family's 1533-position model. The record is from RNAcentral.